AGCAGCCGCGGUAAUUCCAGCUCCAAUAGCGUAUAUUAAAGUUGUUGCAGUUAAAAAGCUCGUAGUUGAAUUUCGGGGUUAGUAGGUUGGUCGUGCCACUGGUACGUACUGGUCUCACUGACUCCUCCUUCCUGAUGAACUGUAAUGCCAUUAAUUUGGUGUUGCGGGGAAACUGGACUGUUACUUUGAAAAAAUUAGAGUGUUUAAAGCAAGCUAACGCUUGAAUACAUUAGCAUGGAAUAAUGAAAUAGGACGUUCGAUCCUAUUUUGUUGGUUUCUAGGAUUGACGUAAUGAUUAAUAGGGAUAGUUGGGGGCAUUAGUAUUCAAUUGUCAGAGGUGAAAUUCUUGGAUUUAUUGAAGACUAACUACUGCGAAAGCAUUUGCCAAGGAUGUUUUCAUUAAUCAAGAACGAAAGUUAGGGGAUCGAAGACGAUCAGAUACCGUCGUAGUCUUAACCAUAAACUAUGCCGACUAGGAAUCGGAUGAUGUUAAUUUUUAAUGACUCAUUCGGCGCCUUAC
Molecule: ribosomal RNA, 520 nt
Filed under: uncultured Glomus
Lineage: Eukaryota; Fungi; Glomeromycota; Glomeromycetes; Glomerales; Glomeraceae
Description: SSU rRNA
Rfam family: Eukaryotic small subunit ribosomal RNA
Source: RNAcentral